RNAcentral lists this long non-coding RNA (1058 nucleotides) under Calidris pugnax (ruff). Its description in RNAcentral is "lncRNA (ENSCPUG00000001375.1)". The record is from RNAcentral. Lineage: Eukaryota; Metazoa; Chordata; Aves; Charadriiformes; Scolopacidae.
GGGCGGGAGGCUGCGGCGAGGAAGAGGAAAUCUCGGCAGGAACAAGGAGAGGGAAAGGGCCAGGGCUGGGGACGGCGACACAACCGGGACCUGCCGGGAGCCCCCGCCGUGGCACUGGGACCGGGGACCGGGACCGGGGACCAGGACCGGGCACCGGGAGCAGCCCCGGAACGGGCACCGGUUGGCGCGGGGCUCGGCGGGCAGGAGGCGGCCGGGAUGGAGAAGCUCCCACCAGGCGAGGAGGAGGAGGAGGAUGAAGAGGAUGAGGAGGAUGAGGAGGACAUGGCGGGGGACGCCGAGGCCAUCCUGCGCUACGAGGAGCGCAUCGCGGGGCUGGUGGCCACGGUAGCCCGGCUGCACCACCGAGCCCAGCAGCUGCAGCGCCGCACCGGCAGGUACCGGCACAUGGUGGCCACGGGGCUACCACCGCCCGGGCACCCCCAUCUCCGGCCUUCGCCGCCCCACAGGGAGGAUGAGGAAGGUUGGGAGGGCACCACCAGCCUCCCUGAUGCCAACCCGCAGCCCCGGCACCUCGACACCAGUAUGGAAGCCCACGGCCCCGACCUCUUUGCUGACCUGCAGCACGCCGUCAGCUCCCUGGAACGCACCGUCUUCUCCCGGCACCGGCGGGCACCGGCACAACCCCUGCCCGGUGAGGAGUGGGCACGGGCGGCCAAGGUGAGCCACGCCGCCAACCGCCAGCCCAGACGCCGAGGGGAUGGGCAGGUUGCCCAGAUGCCCCAUUGGGGUUGCCCAUCCCCUGUAUCCCUAGAGCCUGGAGGAGCUGGACCGGGCACCACCGGGCUGGAGCGGGAGGGGGAUGCCCGGGGGUCCCGGGGAGGGAGCGGGCGAGGGGCUGCCGGCGGAGGAGGCGGCGAUGGCGGCGGCGGUGGCGAGGAACGCGGCACUGAGGGCGGCCUUGGGACGGCGGGACGAGGAGCUGAGCCGGGCUACGGCCUCCCUGGGGGGGCUACGGGGGGAGCGGGACCGGCUGGAGCAGAAGGUGGGUGAUGGGGACACGGGGAGGGGAGGGGGACAUUGCCCAGGUCACCCCCCCC